Molecule: long non-coding RNA, 200 nt
Filed under: Elaeis guineensis (African oil palm)
Lineage: Eukaryota; Viridiplantae; Streptophyta; Magnoliopsida; Arecales; Arecaceae
Description: long non-coding RNA (EGUI_LNC050108)
Source: RNAcentral
ACACUUGGUUCCACAUCCCAUAUAUUUGGCUAGGUUUAGGCAUGAGAAUGAGAGGAUAAGAUAAUAAAAAAUUUGAAAAAAAGAUAAAAAAAAGAGAAAGAAAAAUAAAAAGAAAGAGAGAGAAGAAAAUGAAAAGCAUGUGAUGCUUGUCCUAUAAUCAGAUUGUUCAUGUAUUGAAUAUCUAAUUUGAUUUUUAUAUG